CGGUUAAUUGAAAAGGGCUUUUGGUGGAUGCCUUGGCAUCAAGAGGCGAUGAAGGAGGCGGAAGGCUGCCAUAAGUUCCGGGGAGCUGUCAAUCAAGCUUUGAUCCGGAAAUGUCCGAAUGGGGAAACCCGUCUUGGUAAAUCCAAGAUAUCCUUGUCUGAAUUCAUAGGACAAGGAGGCUAACGACGUGAACUGAAACAUCUCAGUAGCGUCAGGAAAAGAAAACGAAGUGAUUCCCUAAGUAGUGGUGAGCGAAAGGGGAACAGCCUAAACCG
RNAcentral lists this ribosomal RNA (275 nucleotides) under Nitrospiraceae bacterium. RNAcentral describes it as "partial 23S ribosomal RNA". It matches the Rfam family "Bacterial large subunit ribosomal RNA", at positions 1 to 276 of the family's 2925-position model. Lineage: Bacteria; Pseudomonadati; Nitrospirota; Nitrospiria; Nitrospirales; Nitrospiraceae. The record is from RNAcentral.